UACGGGGGGGGCAAGCGUUGUUCGGAAUUACUGGGCGUAAAGGGCUCGUAGGUGGCCAACUAAGUCAGACGUGAAAUCCCUCAGCUUAACUGGGGAACUGCGUCUGAUACUGGAUGGCUUGAGUUUGGGAGAGGGAUGCGGAAUUCCAGGUGUAGCGGUGAAAUGCGUAGAUAUCGGGAGGAACACCAGUGGCGAAGGCGACUUCCUGGCCUGUUCUUGACGCUGAGGCGCGAAAGCUAGGGUAGCAAACGGG
This 253-nucleotide ribosomal RNA is filed under the name uncultured bacterium. Its description in RNAcentral is "partial 16S ribosomal RNA". It matches the Rfam family "Bacterial small subunit ribosomal RNA", at positions 524 to 776 of the family's 1533-position model. The record is from RNAcentral.